AUCCUAUCCUUCCCUGAUGUAUAAACUUUGGCACCUUUUGGAGCAUUGCAUGUACUGUAACCUGCCCUGUUCACUGCUACCACAUUGUGUGCUGCAGGACUAUAGUUGAACACAAUUAUGUCACCAGCCCUAAAGCGCUUUCCUUUAGGCCAACCAGCAACAUUAAAGGUCCAACCUUUAGAAUCUCCAACAGUAAAGGUUGCUGCACUACCCACCUCAAAUUGGAGCACCAAAAUGGACAAAAACACGAAGACCACCACUGCACUGCCUCUUCCCUUAGCCAUUUUCUUGAAGAUCUAAGAAAGUAAC
This 309-nucleotide unclassified non-coding RNA is filed under the name Hevea brasiliensis (rubber tree). The record is from RNAcentral. Lineage: Eukaryota; Viridiplantae; Streptophyta; Magnoliopsida; Malpighiales; Euphorbiaceae.